Molecule: long non-coding RNA, 2035 nt
Organism: Cherax quadricarinatus
Lineage: Eukaryota; Metazoa; Arthropoda; Malacostraca; Decapoda; Parastacidae
Source: RefSeq, a predicted model, not a curated record
GAGCCUGGACGACAACAACAGAAACAACUUGGGAUAGCUUUUUUCCCCAAGAGGUAGCAGUGGGAAGGAGCUUCUCCUUCCAACCAGUAACUUCCUCUCCCACCACCACACCACCAACUCUUCAAGUCUAAGUUUACAGGUAAGGAUCCUAGUCACAGGAGGUCAAGACUGAGGGUGCAGGGUGCUAUAAAACUGGCUUCCAGCAGUACAGUAGACAUGCAUCCCAAGAGGUCAAGGAAAAGUCAGUCAACCUCAGAAUUUUUCAAGGAGAGGAGACUUAACUGUAAGAUUACCAUUGAUGACUGGUUGGAUCACAACAUAAAGGGAGAAAAUUCCUAUGAAAAGAGGAAACGUAAAAGCAACAAUAAGAAGAAACGAAGACUUCAUCAUCGAAGAAAAAUAUCAAGAAAGGUUGGCAAGACAUCACCUUGGCCUGGUCGGCGAUAUAGAGAACAUUUUGAAGCUUCAGGUGAUUGUUCAUAUAUCCCUCUUUAAGUACCUAGUAUUUCCACUUAAACUCGCAGAAAAAGGGGCUUGGUUGGCAAUGCUCCCGCCUUCCACACUGAGUGUUCGUGGUUCAGUCACCGGCAUGGAUGCCAAUGUUUAACAUGUUUCCUUAUAUCUGCUGUUCAUGUUCACUUAUAAGUAAGUGUAGGUACCUGGGUGUUAGUCAACCUGGGUGUUAGUCAACCUGGGUGUUAGUCAACCUGGGUGUUAGUCAAUCUGGAUAGAGGUCUGAACUUGCUACCACCUGCAGCUCAUAAGACUGCCAUCCCCACGAGCCCCUUUGGGGCGGGGCAGAUGACAGACCAGAGGCCUAGCUUCUCCCUACGAGCCCCGUGAGGGCGGGGACUGUGGCUAGGCCUGGGGACUCUUGGUCCCAAAGAUGAGGGGGUACUUGUAUCUCCUUCCAUGGGAGACUUACGUCUCGAGACGCUCCCCAGAUAGGGAGCCAAGACCGGGUCACCACUACUUGGAAAAGACCGGGGCCGGGAGAAUACCGGCGAAUAAAAAAAAAAAUCAACCUGGGUGUUAGUCAACCUGGUUGUUAGUCAACCUGGGUGUUAGUCAACCUGGGCGUUAGUCAACCUGGGUGUUAGUCAACCUGGUUGUUAGUCAACCUGGGUGUUAGUAAACCUGGGUGUUAGUCAACCUGGGUGUUAGUCACCCUGGGUGUUAGUCAACCUGGGUGUUACUCAACCUGGGUGUUAGUCAACCUGGGUGUUAGAAAACCUGGGUGUUAGUCACGCUGGGUGUUAGUCAACCUGUGUGUUAGUCAACCUGGGUGUUAGUCAACCUGGGUGUUAGUCAACCUGGGUGUUAGUCAACCUGGGUGUUAGUCAACCUGGGUGAUAGUCAACCUGAGUGUUAGUCAACCUGGGUGAUAGUCAACCUGGGUGAUAGUCAACCUGGGUGAUAGUCAACCUGGGUGAUAGUCAACCUGGGUGUUAGUCAACCUGGGUGAUAGUCAACUGGUGGGGGACAAGAUUGAAGGACCCAAAUGUAAAUAAGACGGACAGUCCUCGACUUUCGGGGGUUAUUCUGGGUGACUAAUCCUCCGGUUUAAAAUUCCAAACAAAUCUUGUCUUAUGAACUGAUAGGCCAGCAGAAGGCACUUACUCAACAAUAUGCCUUAAUUACAAUGAAGUUCCUUAAGGUCUUUCCAACGACUAACUUCUAGGUACCUAUUUAGUGCUAGGUAAACAGAAGUAGCAGACGUAAGGAGAGUUACUCAUGCGUCCCAUCUCGCCCAGGGUUCGAUCCCACGUAUUUUCGGUUGCGAGGCGAAUACUCUAACCAUUGAGAAGUAGCACAGUAUCUCUCUUCCCUGUGUCAGUGACUCCACAUCUUUCAUACUCUGAAAGUGAGCCAUUGUUGGCAGUCACUCUGAUGGCAAGUAUGUUGUGGAAGUAUCCCUUGAAGAUUCAUGUUGUGGAAGUAUCCCUUGAAGAUUUAUGUUGUGGAAGUAUCCCUUGAAGAUUUAUGUUGUGGAAGUAUUCCUUGAAGAUUAAUGUUGUGGAAGUAUCCCUUGAAG